GAUGAACGCUGGCGGCGUGCCUAAUACAUGCAAGUCGAGCGAACGGACGAGAAGCUUGCUUUUCUGAUGUUAGCGGCGGACGGGUGAGUAACACGUGGAUAACCUACCUAUAAGACUGGGAUAACUUCGGGAAACCGGAGCUAAUACCGGAUAAUAUUUUGAACCGCAUGGUUCAAAAGUGAAAGACGGUCUUGCUGUCACUUAUAGAUGGAUCCGCGCUGCAUUAGCUAGUUGGUAAGGUAACGGCUUACCAAGGCAACGAUGCAUAGCCGACCUGAGAGGGUGAUCGGCCACACUGGAACUGAGACACGGUCCAGACUCCUACGGGAGGCAGCAGUAGGGAAUCUUCCGCAAUGGGCGGAAGCCUGACGGAGCAACGCCGCGUGAGUGAUGAAGGUCUUCGGAUCGUAAAACUCUGUUAUUAGGGAAGAACAUAUGUGCAAGUAACUGUGCACAUCUUGACGGUACCUAAUCAGAAAGCCACGGCUAACUACGUG
RNAcentral lists this ribosomal RNA (497 nucleotides) under uncultured bacterium. Its description in RNAcentral is "partial 16S ribosomal RNA". It matches the Rfam family "Bacterial small subunit ribosomal RNA", at positions 28 to 507 of the family's 1533-position model. The record is from RNAcentral.